This 819-nucleotide small RNA is filed under the name Histoplasma capsulatum. Its description in RNAcentral is "hypothetical RNA". RNAcentral also lists the same sequence under 1 other name. The record is from RNAcentral. Lineage: Eukaryota; Fungi; Ascomycota; Eurotiomycetes; Onygenales; Ajellomycetaceae.
CAAAAUGACGAGUUGGCUUGAUUUGCCGCUUCAGCUCUCGCGCGUGCCUGGCAGCGCCGCCUGCUGGGCGCGGCGGGCGAUGCGGACAUGUUCUGGGCCCCUUUCACCAUCCAUUCAAGAACAGUGUGACCGCUUCUGAUUGGACGUUGUGUUCGAUUGCUUCAGGUUGUUACGGGUGAGCAGCGUGGAAUAAUCCCUUAAUUCAUCCGAAGUAUCUAUUGCUUCCCCCUCUCUCUUUAGCUUUAGUUUUUUCUUCAGGAGUUCAAGUGGAGGAUUCUUGUAUUUGUAAACUGAGUUAUCUUCUCCCUGACAGAGGAAUUGGCAAUGGACUACUCUGUACUUUGCCAAAAGCACCAUUCUCAGGGAUAUAUGCUCCAUGCAAUGGACAAACAUGGCACUCCUGAGCAUGGUUUUUAUCAUCGCCAACCAGUGGAGAUAUGAACACAGCAAACGCUCUUCGUGACGGGGAUAUUUUCAAAACAGCAAGUUGCAUGUGCAUGUUAAUGUGCAGUACAUACAUGUGGGUGGACAUGAACAUACAGUACAUACAUACAUAUUGAUUGUAUCUAAAUCAUUUACGUAGGAAUUUCACUUGGUAAUCAUGAUUCUCAGCAAAUUCCUCUCCCGAGUUCUUAUAUCUGGAGUAGGUCUCAGCCAGGUGUGGGCGAAAUGUUCUACAUUUGCUCAACUACUCGUAUCGCAGGCGCUUUAAAGAGCGGAUGGUCUACUGGUUACAUUGAGAGAGAACUGGCUGCUUGCUCCUUACUUCUGACCAGGAGAAAAGGGGAACCUCCACCACCACUGGUUACAUACAAUAUC